GAUAAACGCUGGCGGCGUGCCUAACACAUGCAAGUCGAACGUCCUCUUCUUUCGAGGAGAGGGAGUGGCGGACGGGUGAGGAACACGUGGAUGACCUACCCCCCGGUGAGGAAUACCGCCGAGAAAUCGGCGACAAGACCGCAUAGGCUUGCCUUUCACACAGAGAGGCAAGCAAAGCUUCUAUUCGCGAGAGUGGAGGC
This 200-nucleotide ribosomal RNA is filed under the name uncultured bacterium. RNAcentral describes it as "partial 16S ribosomal RNA". It matches the Rfam family "Bacterial small subunit ribosomal RNA", at positions 28 to 229 of the family's 1533-position model. The record is from RNAcentral.